CUACGGGCGGCAGCAGUGAGGAAUAUUGCACAAUGGGGGGAACCCUGAUGCAGCAACGCCGCGUGGAGGAUGACGCAUUUCGGUGUGUAAACUCCUUUUAUAUGUCAAGAAAAUGACGGUAGCAUAUGAAUAAGCACCGGCUAACUCCGUGCCAGCAGCCGCGGUAAUACGGAGGGUGCAAGCGUUACUCGGAAUUACUGGGCGUAAAGGACGCGUAGGCGGGUUGGAAAGUCAGGUGUGAAAUCCUACAGCUUAACUGUAGAACUGCACUUGAAACUUCUAAUCUAGAGUAUGGGAGGGGGAGAUGGAAUUAGUGGUGUAGGGGUAAAAUCCGUAGAUAUCACUAGGAAUACCUAAAGCGAAGGCGAUUUCCUGGAACAUUACUGACGCUAAGGCGUGAAAGCGUGGGGAGCAAACAGGAUUAGAUACCCCAGUAGUC
RNAcentral lists this ribosomal RNA (439 nucleotides) under uncultured bacterium. RNAcentral describes it as "partial 16S ribosomal RNA". It matches the Rfam family "Bacterial small subunit ribosomal RNA", at positions 339 to 795 of the family's 1533-position model. The record is from RNAcentral.